GAAAUUGAGAAAGUAUUUGCAAAAAAAUAAAAUUCAAUCAACUUUCCAAUUACAUGCACAUUCACCUGGUUCUCUAGUGCUGCUAAUGUAUGCUGCUGCCCUUAGUAAACAAUGGUCUUACCUUACCCUCUUUGAUACAGCAAAAACCUUCCUUUGAUGCUGCCUUCCAUUUUGUUUUGCUAAAGCACUAGUGAUUGAAGAAGCUGCUUUGGUCAAUUAAACUUUUCUUUGUGCUAACAACACUUUGCUAUAUUAGCAAACAUGUCUUUCAUUCCUAUACUGAGGUAUAAUUCGACCUUGUUUUCCUUUUUCUUCCAUUUGUUGUUUUAAAUGCAACACUUGCAGCAUGUAUUGGAGCACGGGAAGCCGCAUGAGCGCUCUAUUAUAAUUCAGGAACUAGCUGGGAAGAUUGUGCAAAUGAGCCAGCAGAAGUUUGCCUCUAAUGUUGUUGAGAAGUGUUUAACUUUUUGUAAUUCCAGUGAACGACAGCUACUGGUGAACGAGAUGCUUGGUACGACUGAUGAAAAUGAGCCUCUUCAGGCUAUGAUGAAAGAUCAGUUUGCAAAUUACGUUGUACAGAAAGUUUUGGAAACUUGUAGCGAUCAGCAACGCGAGCUGAUCAUGUCGAGGAUAAGAGUUCACUUGAAUGCUCUGAAGAAAUACACUUACGGAAAGCAUAUUGUCGCGCGUGUUGAAAAGCUAGUUGCUGCUGGGGAAAGAAGAAUUGCUGCUCAGUCCCUAAGUCCGGCUUAGUCUUGUAGGAAAGAAAGUUGUACAGCUAACUGAGGCUUAGUUUGAGCUACCUAUCUUCCUUUUCUUCCACAUCUAGUGUUUUAGCUCCAUACAUGUCUUCAAAGGUAUGGAGUAAAUUGCAAAUAAAGUUGUUACAUGUACUAGAGAACUGUAAAUUGUGUAGUUAAAACAUAAAAGCAGAUAUGCUGAAGCUCAGAUGUCAAAUAUUCGAGAUGGCUGUGCAGAGGAAGUCAAGUUUCCGGAGGGUGUAAAAAAUAUAAGACCGGCGAGGUAGUUUAUAUCAACGCGAUUGUACAAAUGUUGCCAUGUGGAGAGUUGAUGUUUAGGUGAGAACAGAAAUUUCAUGUAUGGUAUUGACAAUUUUCUUUUAUGGCUAGGUGUAUUUUCUUUCA
Molecule: non-coding RNA, 1145 nt
Organism: Nicotiana tabacum (common tobacco)
Lineage: Eukaryota; Viridiplantae; Streptophyta; Magnoliopsida; Solanales; Solanaceae
Source: RefSeq, a predicted model, not a curated record